Long non-coding RNA from Diabrotica virgifera virgifera (western corn rootworm), 668 nucleotides. RefSeq lists it as uncharacterized. The record is from RefSeq and is a predicted model, not a curated record. Lineage: Eukaryota; Metazoa; Arthropoda; Insecta; Coleoptera; Chrysomelidae. The transcript has 2 exons.
AUUUAUCAUUAUUGGCUUCUAUGCCAUUAUAUUUUCUUCUGUUCUAAAACUUAUUCACUUGUAUUAGAUAUCUGUUAAUAAUUUUUUUAAAAAAGAGAGGUUACAGAAAUAAAGAUGUGUACAUUUUAUAAUGUUUAUUUAAAACUUACUCCGAGAAUAAACAUAUUCUCAAAAAAGAAAUGAAUAAUAAAAACAAAUAUAUGGUUUUACAAUUUUUAACCUUAUUUAUUUUUAGCAGUGUACCAAAACUAAAAUUUGACAUGGCUGUCAAAAGUCACUGCCAUUUUACAUUUACUUUACAAUAAAAUAUUUUCCAUGUUGAAAACAAACAUUUAAUUAUGUAAAACCUUUACCAUUAAUAUCCACUUGUGAAUUUAUUUAAAAUAAACAUUAUCAUACCUUAAAACAAAAAUCCAUGUCACAACACUUGGAACUUCAAAACUUUCCAUUCGAGAUUGGAGGGAGGGAAGAUAUUCAAAUCAUUACUAAACUGGAUAAAAUCGAUACCAAAUAAUAUCAUCCGGGCAUUUCUUACUGGAACAUGAACAAAUCCAUAUAUCAUAAAAAUAGCAACAGCUACAUAAAGGACAGGAACCAGGAAACCACGCACUUCUUUUUUAUACCACCGGCAAAUCUAACUGCAUAACAAUAGAACUGUUUCACAAUAA